This 467-nucleotide ribosomal RNA is filed under the name uncultured bacterium. RNAcentral's name for it is "partial 16S ribosomal RNA". It matches the Rfam family "Bacterial small subunit ribosomal RNA", at positions 28 to 506 of the family's 1533-position model. The record is from RNAcentral.
GACGAACGCUGGCGGCGUGCUUAACACAUGCAAGUCGAACGGAAAGGCCCUGCUUUUGUGGGGUGCUCGAGUGGCGAACGGGUGAGUAACACGUGAGUAACCUGCCCUUGACUUUGGGAUAACUUCAGGAAACUGGGGCUAAUACCGGAUAGGAGCUCCUGCUGCAUGGUGGGGGUUGGAAAGUUUCGGCGGUUGGGGAUGGACUCGCGGCUUAUCAGCUUGUUGGUGGGGUAGUGGCUUACCAAGGCUUUGACGGGUAGCCGGCCUGAGAGGGUGACCGGCCACAUUGGGACUGAGAUACGGCCCAGACUCCUACGGGAGGCAGCGGUGGGGAAUAUUGCACAAUGGGCGGAAGCCUGAUGCAGCAACGCCGCGUGCGGGAUGACGGCCUUCGGGUUGUAAACCGCUUUCGCCUGUGACGAAGCGUGAGUGACGGUAAUGGGUAAAGAAACACCGGCUAACUACGU